This 18-nucleotide ribosomal RNA is filed under the name Gagea chomutovae. RNAcentral's name for it is "partial 26S ribosomal RNA". Lineage: Eukaryota; Viridiplantae; Streptophyta; Magnoliopsida; Liliales; Liliaceae. The record is from RNAcentral.
GUGACCCCAGGUCAGGCG